UUGUAGCUCAGCUGGAUAGAGCAUCGGCCUUCUAAGCCGAGGGUCCAGGGUUCGAAUCCCUGC
RNAcentral lists this transfer RNA (63 nucleotides) under bovine gut metagenome. It matches the Rfam family "tRNA", at positions 7 to 64 of the family's 71-position model. Rfam says of the family: Transfer RNA (tRNA) molecules are approximately 80 nucleotides in length. Their secondary structure includes four short double-helical elements and three loops (D, anti-codon, and T loops). Further hydrogen bonds mediate the characteristic L-shaped molecular structure. tRNAs have two regions of fundamental functional importance: the anti-codon, which is responsible for specific mRNA codon recognition, and the 3' end, to which the tRNAs corresponding amino acid is attached (by aminoacyl-tRNA synthetases). tRNAs cope with the degeneracy of the genetic code in two manners: having more than one tRNA (with a specific anti-codon) for a particular amino acid; and 'wobble' base-pairing, i.e. permitting non-standard base-pairing at the 3rd anti-codon position. The record is from RNAcentral.